UACGUAGGGUGCGAGCGUUAAUCGGAAUUACUGGGCGUAAAGCGUGCGCAGGCGGUCUGUUAAGACCGAUGUGAAAUCCCCGGGCUUAACCUGGGAACUGCAUUUGUGACUGCAUGGCUGGAGUGCGGCGAGAGGGGGAUGGAAUUCCGCGUGUAGCAGUGAAAUGCGUAGAUAUGACGGAGGAACACCGAUGGCGAAGGCAAUCCCUGGGCCUGCACUGACGCUCAUGCACGAAAGCGUGGGGAGCAAACAGG
Molecule: ribosomal RNA, 254 nt
Filed under: uncultured bacterium
Lineage: Bacteria
Description: partial 16S ribosomal RNA
Rfam family: Bacterial small subunit ribosomal RNA
Source: RNAcentral